CUUCGCUACAUAUUUCUGAUAAGUUUAAUACUUUUACUCUGAUACAUUUUUCAUGAGCUGCAUCGUUACUCGUUACCAUCGACCUUUCUCAAAGCCCCGCCCCCAAUCAUACAUCCUAGAAAGCGUUACUAUGGAAACCAGGUGCUUCUAGCUGCGGCCUCCAACAAGCUACAUGUUGAAGGAUGUGGUUUGUGGGUCGAGUUCUUCCUGAAGCUGGAAACACAACAUGAACGGAUGAAGUGGAUGAAACAGUGCGGAAGGAGCCGCUCCAGCUACACGUCAACACAACAAACACGCUACACGCGUCUGCUCCAAGGACUCACUUUGUUCCCUGAACUGAUGCGACAGUGUUGUGUUGACCAGAUGUCUAAACUGGACCGGACGGACUCGGGUUUAAUUUGAAAGACAAAUGAGAGGUGACGUCUGGAGGUCUAGCGUCCACCAGGAGAGGGCUGCAGAGGAGGAGGAACGUCCCACUGAGUCCACGCCGCCUGUAAUGAGACGCUGCAGAGAGGAACUACCGCCUGGAUGAAUGACAGCAUGAAGCCAUUCGCUGGAGGACGAAGGACGACUUCGCCGAGGUGAGGCAGAGAGUUGUCAAUCUGACUCUGGCUCCACCGUCAGGACAAAGCUUUCUGGCACCAACACAAUGAAUUACAAUGGUUUUAUAAAAAGCUUGAAAGGAAACGAGCCUGACUUUCUUUUCCUGCUCUGAACGUCAAUGCAAAUCAUCAAACCCAGGGAUUAAAGGGGCCGAGCUGCAGACGAUGAAAAGCAGAAUAUUUACCAGCUUUCGUUUUGUGUAGAUCAGCUGAUCCUUAAUUGAGGUCUGGAAGGUGAAACAACCAGUGAGGAGUCAUAAAGAAUGACCUCUAGUUUGAGUUGUGUUAAUAAUCCACUUACAGCCAGUUUAUGUACAUAGCUUAUGUACAGUAAUGGAUGUGGGUCAUUAGGACACUUCAGUUUCUUUUGUAACGGCGGCUCUAACCUCUGGUGGUGUCAUAUUCAGGAGGAAGAUGUCUGAAGUGGAAAAUCACAGGUUAUUUACGCAAAUAAAUCAAAUUGUACUUUCAAAAUGAAAAACCUGCACGAGUAUCGAUUCGUUUCCUGUCAUCCCAUUAUUUGGCAACACAACAAGCUCUCAUUGUGAAAGGAUCAGGCUCCUUUGACGGCUCGUGGUAUUCAGAGUAGAGGCGGUUUUAACUGAACCCCUUACGAUAAGAGUGAACGGACUGAAAGCG
Molecule: long non-coding RNA, 1241 nt
Organism: Mugil cephalus (flathead mullet)
Lineage: Eukaryota; Metazoa; Chordata; Actinopteri; Mugiliformes; Mugilidae
Exons: 3
Source: RefSeq, a predicted model, not a curated record